RNAcentral lists this ribosomal RNA (492 nucleotides) under uncultured bacterium. Its description in RNAcentral is "partial 16S ribosomal RNA". It matches the Rfam family "Bacterial small subunit ribosomal RNA", at positions 29 to 507 of the family's 1533-position model. The record is from RNAcentral.
AGUGAACGCUGGCGGUAGGCCUAACACAUGCAAGUCGAACGGCAGCACAGUAAGAGCUUGCUCUUACGGGUGGCGAGUGGCGGACGGGUGAGGAAUACAUCGGAAUCUACUUUUUCGUGGGGGAUAACGUAGGGAAACUUACGCUAAUACCGCAUACGACCUACGGGUGAAAGCAGGGGAUCUUCGGAACUUGCUCGAUUGAAUGAGCCGAUGUCGGAUUAGCUAGUUGGCGGGGUAAAGGCCCUCCAAGGCGACGAUCCGUAGCUGGUCUGAGAGGAUGAUCAGCCACACUGGAACUGAGACACGGGCCAGACUCCUACGGGAGGCAGCAGUGGGGAAUAUUGGACAAUGGGCGCAAGCCUGAUCCAGCCAUACCGCGUGGGUGAAGAAGGCCUUCGGGUUGUAAAGCCCUUUUGUUGGGAAAGAAAAGCAGCAGGUUAAUACCCCGCUGUUCUGACGGUACCCAAAGAAUAAGCACCGGCUAACUUCGUG